This 294-nucleotide long non-coding RNA is filed under the name Rattus norvegicus (Norway rat). RNAcentral describes it as "long non-coding RNA NONRATT013003". Lineage: Eukaryota; Metazoa; Chordata; Mammalia; Rodentia; Muridae. The record is from RNAcentral.
GUUACAAGGCUACAGACAUGUUGGCAGAAGCUAUGAGAGUGAGGAAGGAGUGUGUAAAGUUUAUAGAAGACAAAGCCUUCCUGUGCACAAUGAAGAGGAGACAAUGAGGUGAAGAGGGGAUGUAACAGUCAACCUUCUGAAGCCACAUCCAUGUGUGAAGCUGUCACCCACUGGGACAGAGACAAACUCCAAUACACAAGUCCUCCCUAUGGUCAUUUUAUCUCAGAGUAGUCAUUGACCUCUGCUAGAGAAAAUUUGUCCUGACACUUAUAAUUAAACACUUCUUACCAUGCA